UACGUAGGGGGCGAGCGUUGUCCGGAUUCAUUGGGCGUAAAGAGCUCGUAGGCGGCUUGGCAAGUCGGGUGUGAAAACUCCAGGCUCAACCUGGAGACGCCACCCGAUACUGCCAUGGCUUGAGUCCGGUAGGGGACCACGGAAUUCCUGGUGUAGCGGUGAAAUGCGUAGAUAUCAGGAGGAACACCGGUGGUGUAGACGGCUCUCUGGACCGUAACUGACGCUGAGGCACGAAAGCGUGGGUAGCAGACAGG
This 254-nucleotide ribosomal RNA is filed under the name uncultured bacterium. RNAcentral's name for it is "partial 16S ribosomal RNA". It matches the Rfam family "Bacterial small subunit ribosomal RNA", at positions 524 to 776 of the family's 1533-position model. The record is from RNAcentral.